This 94-nucleotide small nucleolar RNA is filed under the name Plasmodium ovale (malaria parasite P. ovale). Its description in RNAcentral is "PowCR01_130031600". It matches the Rfam family "small nucleolar RNA snoR31". RNAcentral also lists the same sequence under 1 other name. The record is from RNAcentral. Lineage: Eukaryota; Apicomplexa; Aconoidasida; Haemosporida; Plasmodiidae.
AUAAAAUUUCCAUAUGCUUUGUUAAUUCCUAGCGGGCAAGAUUUUUUUCAAAAAAUGAAAAACAUCAUAAUCAGUCUAGGAAAUAAAAAAAUUU